CUCUACCUUAUCCAGCUUCGCCAGAGUUGCUACCUUUCCCUCAUCCUUCAGUUGUAGCUCAUUCAUAUGGAUGUCUAAAUGAGCAACAAGGGCCGAAUGAAGAUUCAAUGCCUACCAAGAACGUAAACUUGGGAUGGAUGUGUCACCAUCCGCCUGCUCCAUAUUGAGGUUCAAAUAUAAACCUAGAGAUUCUAGCGUCUGCCAUUUAUGUCUGUCCUUCUAGUUGUUUAGGGAGGGCAAGGCUCUAGUUAACACGCUACAACUAGGUCGUGCUGUCAAAAGCUUCCAUGGGAUACUUCCCACAAGCGAACAUUUGCGCUAGAAUUCUGUGAUUUACUAGGAUAUUUUUCAAACCAGAUAAAAUUCUGAUCCCAGUAAUCAUUCACCAGGCAUUUGGACCCCACCGAUUGAGCGCCAAGCCAUAGUUUUUUAACGCUUGCAUUAGGAGCCUUUUGAAGGGCAGUCGGAGCCCCGCAUUGAAGUCUUCCUGAUACAAUACAAUGUUGUUAUCCCCGGCAUGUAAAACAGUUUUAAAACCGAGGGCAAAAUGUAAAUCAUAGACAGGAAACGACACAACUACAACUAUAAAUAGCUAGGAAACGAGUAUUUUGUCGUGUACACGCAACAAGCAAAGCUAUCUUAAAAAUCAGAAAUUGAGGAUAAGAGAGAGUGAGAAAGAGAGAUGGCGAUUCAACUGAAGCUGAACCACCUCCACACGUAUGCUCUGAAGCAUGAGAAACAACCCAAGCCGGGUCUCUCCACCUCCGCCCCGCAAAGAUCACAAAAAUUUCAAGCCAAAGCAGCGCCCAAUGCUCGGCAGCUUUUACAGUCCGGUGCUAUUAAACCCAUACCGGCUAAGGACGCAGCCAUGGCCAUGAGUUCAGAAGGUUUUGUGCUUCUCGACAUCAGACCAUCGUGGGAGAGAGAAAAGGCACGAGUAUCAGGAUCACUACACGUUCCAUUCUUUGUCCAGGACUUGGAUAACGGUCCUUUAACCCUUCUGAAGAAGUGGGUUCAUUUUGGCUACAUUGGGCUUUGGACUGGCCAGAAUUUCACCACAUUAAAUCCUGAUUUUCUCCGGCAGGUAGAGACCGCUGUUCCUGAUAAGGACACCAAGCUUCUUGUAGCUUGUGGAGAAGGGCUCAGGUCCAUGAUGGCAGCUACAAAAUUGUACGAGAAAGGAUACAGGAACCUCGGAUGGUUGGCCGGAGGAUUCAAUCGCGCCUCAGAUGGUGAUUUCCCAGAUGUUGAAGGACCAGAAGAAUUACAAUAUGCAACUAUAGGGGGCGUAUCGUACUAUUUCCUUCAAUUGCUAAUUCUCUUACAGGCUGUAGGCAAGAGCAAUUGAUAGGCUAAUGAUAUGACUCUGUUAUAGCUGUCCUUGUUCAUGCAAUUCAAGUAGCAAUUACAAGGCGUGUAUGUUCUAUCGUUGCCAAAUGAAAACAUGGAACAUUGGUUUAACAAACAUAAUUACCCAUCGAUUUAAGCGACACAUACUGCUCAAAAAAGGGGGAAAAUACCGUCUAACAUUAGAACAAUCCACUCUGAAUCUGUAAACUUUCAUAUCCUGAAUCAAUUAAUGCAGUUGAUCAAAGAAAAACUUGUCACAAUUUUUCAGUGUUGAUCUACAUGGAGUUCAAUUCUCAAAUAACGUCCAUUAUCACAUACAAAGUAGCUUCUACAUAUAGACUUUAGACUAUACUCGGAUAAUUUGGAAAUAGAAGCAAGAGAUUCAUCAUAAAAGAUUCCUGCGAUAAUUCAUCAGACAGCAAGUUGUUUGCUACUGCUAUGCAAGUCUCCAGAAAUCUCCAAACAAAACGACAUAACACCUAUUCCGACCUGUUUGCGAACCUUUCCACCUUCUUGUCGUUUAAAUUGAUACCCACCAUAGCCUCACCGAGACCGCAACUCACCUCCGCGAGCAUGUCGGGAUCGCUAUAAUGCGUCACCGCCUGCACAAUUGCUCGGGCCCUCCUGGCGGGGUCCCCGCUCUUGAACACCCCAGACCCCACAAACACCCCAUCGCAACCCAACUGCAUCAUCAACGCUGCGUCCGCCGGCGUCGCGACCCCUCCCGCCGCGAACUGCACCACAGGUAGCCUCCCUAGCUGCUUCGUCUGCAUAACCAAAUCGUACGGCGCAGCAAUCUUCUUGGCAAAACUGAACACCUCGUCGUCGUCCAUGUUCCUCAAAACCCUAACAUCACCCAUCACAGACCUCACGUGCCUAACCGCUUCGAUUACAUUCCCGGUCCCUGCUUCCCCUUUGGUUCUAAUCAUGGCAGCUCCCUCGCGUACCCUUCGAAGCGCUUCGCCUAAGUUCCGGCAACCGCAAACGAAGGGGAUGCGGAAGUUAUGUUUGUUGAUGUGGUUCUCUUCAUCAGCAGGGGUAAGCACCUCGCUCUCGUCGACAUAAUCGAUGCCUAUAGCUUCAAGGAUUUGGGCCUCCACGAAGUGGCCGAUGCGGGCUUUCGCCAUAACGGGUAUAGUGACCGACUGUUUGAUUUCUUUGAUAAGCUGAGGGUCGCUCAUGCGGGCGACGCCACCUUGAGCGCGGAUAUCGGCUGGCACACGCUCCAAAGCCAUGACAGCACAAGCGCCAGCCUCCUCGGCUAUGCGGGCCUGCUCGGGAUUUACGACGUCCAUGAUAACACCGCCUCUUAGCAUCUGGGCUAGACCCACCUUCACGGAAAAGGGGGACUUUUUGGUUUCGGUGAUUGCUCCGUUGCCGUAAACUGCCACCACCCCAGUUCCAGCCAUUUCUAAAUACUGUAGAAGGAGAAAGCGCAGAGAAAGAAAGAGAUUAAUGGGUUAUUACGAUAAAGAGGCGGUGGAGGGUGGUAUAAGUAGCUGCGGUCUGUAAGUGGAUGUGACAUGUAGUAGGAAUAAUGGGUUGUGAUUGAGAUGAGAUAAUUAGAUCGGACGGCUAUGAGAAAGGGUGUAGAUUGGCUGGGCGUAGAUGCGGUAAUAAUUUAGCUAGGUUUUGUAAAACGGAGGCCACGUAUUCUACCAUUUUUCCUCGGUUUGAGCAAAAUAUGGGCUACGUGGAUACUCAGAAAUGCAGUGGUUUAUUCUUCAUUCCUGUGCUCCGCUGCUGCCUGUGGCGAAAUGGUAACUGAUCCGAGAUAUAAUUCGCUGCAGCCUUGCUUAUAUGUUCUCUUUCAUAAGUUUUUUUUUUCUAAAUUUAUUUUCUCGUG
Molecule: unclassified non-coding RNA, 3196 nt
Filed under: Hevea brasiliensis (rubber tree)
Lineage: Eukaryota; Viridiplantae; Streptophyta; Magnoliopsida; Malpighiales; Euphorbiaceae
Source: RNAcentral